GGCUCAAUGGUCUAGAGGUAUGAUACUUCCUUCGGGUGGAAGUGGCCCCGGGUUCGAUUCCCGGUUGAGCCC
RNAcentral lists this transfer RNA (72 nucleotides) under Ascosphaera apis ARSEF 7405. Its description in RNAcentral is "tRNA-Pro (CGG) (tRNA-Pro-CGG-1-1)". It matches the Rfam family "tRNA". From Rfam's summary of the family: Transfer RNA (tRNA) molecules are approximately 80 nucleotides in length. Their secondary structure includes four short double-helical elements and three loops (D, anti-codon, and T loops). Further hydrogen bonds mediate the characteristic L-shaped molecular structure. tRNAs have two regions of fundamental functional importance: the anti-codon, which is responsible for specific mRNA codon recognition, and the 3' end, to which the tRNAs corresponding amino acid is attached (by aminoacyl-tRNA synthetases). tRNAs cope with the degeneracy of the genetic code in two manners: having more than one tRNA (with a specific anti-codon) for a particular amino acid; and 'wobble' base-pairing, i.e. permitting non-standard base-pairing at the 3rd anti-codon position. Lineage: Eukaryota; Fungi; Ascomycota; Eurotiomycetes; Onygenales; Ascosphaeraceae. The record is from RNAcentral.